UGCCUCCACGAGCCUGCUGUUUCCAGGAA
RNAcentral lists this non-coding RNA (29 nucleotides) under Homo sapiens (human). Lineage: Eukaryota; Metazoa; Chordata; Mammalia; Primates; Hominidae. The record is from RNAcentral.